GAUGAACGCUAGCGGGAGGCCUAACACAUGCAAGCCGAGCGGUAUUGUUUCUUCGGAAAUGAGAGAGCGGCGUACGGGUGCGUAACACGUGUGCAACCUGCCUUUAUCUGGGGGAUAGCCUUUCGAAAGGAAGAUUAAUACUCCAUAAUAUAUUGAACGGCAUCGUUUAAUAUCGAAAGCUCCGGCGGAUAGAGAUGGGCACGCGCAAGAUUAGCUAGUUGGUGAGGUAACGGCUCACCAAGGCGAUGAUCUUUAGGGGGCCUGAGAGGGUGAUCCCCCACACUGGUACUGAGACACGGACCAGACUCCUACGGGAGGCAGCAGUGAGGAAUAUUGGUCAAUGGGUGCAAGCCUGAACCAGCCAUCCCGCGUGAAGGACGACUGCCCUAUGGGUUGUAAACUUCUUUUGUAUAGGGAUAAACCUACCCUCGGGAGGGUAGCUGAAGGUACUAUACGAAUAAGCACCGGCUAACUCCGUG
RNAcentral lists this ribosomal RNA (479 nucleotides) under uncultured bacterium. Its description in RNAcentral is "partial 16S ribosomal RNA". It matches the Rfam family "Bacterial small subunit ribosomal RNA", at positions 28 to 507 of the family's 1533-position model. The record is from RNAcentral.